Molecule: ribosomal RNA, 396 nt
Filed under: uncultured bacterium
Lineage: Bacteria
Description: partial 16S ribosomal RNA
Rfam family: Bacterial small subunit ribosomal RNA
Source: RNAcentral
AUACGUAGGGAGCGAGCGUUGUCCGGAAUUACUGGGUGUAAAGGGUGCGUAGGCGGGACUGCAAGUCAGACGUGAAAUGCCGGGGCUCAACCCCGGAGCUGCAUUUGAAACUGUGGUUCUUGAGUGAGGUAGAGGUAAGCGGAAUUCCUAGUGGAGCGGUGAAAUGCGUAGAUAUUAGGAGGAACAUCGGUGGCGAAGGCGGCUUACUGGGCCUUUACUGACGCUGAGGCACGAAAGCGUGGGGAGCAAACAGGAUCAGAUACCCUGGUAGUCCACGCUGUAAACGAUGAUGACUAGGUGUGGGGGGACUGAACCCUUCCGUGCCGCAGUUAACACAAUAAGUCAUCCACCUGGGGAGUACGGCCGCAAGGUUGAAACUUAAAGGAAUUGACGGGG